AUUGAUUUUGUGAGGGCCAAUUGAAAUGAAAUUUGGAUGGGAUGAAUGUCCAAUUGAAGCUGAGAUUUUUAAAAUUCGUAGCCCCCCACCUAGCCACAACAUUUGGACCAUUUUGGCUUCUAGAAGAGUUCUUGAGAGGUCCAUUGUGAGCCAAGGAAAUUAUGCUUGGCUGAGAAUUGUUUUUGGAGAUAUUCUUGCAAAAUAUCAAGCUAAGGCCCACCUCUUCCUCAUCCUCUCCAUCUUGCUGCCGUGAAUUGCUUCUCUACCUUCUCAUUUUCUUUCGUGCGACUGCUUCCUCAUCUCGGCCACUCGUCCGCGUGAAAUCCAUCGCAAGAAGACAGAGGCAGCAACCACGCCACUACUACACAUCUUCAGUUCAACGGACGGAGGCCAGCAAGCGGUGAAGCCCCCAUCUCCAUGGACGUCACCUGACUGCACGCCACCGCUCCAUCAUCCACCGAAGAAGAAAUCUCCACGCGGCUAGAAGUUCAAGCGGACAUCUCCACUACAAAUUGUCCCUUUGGUCAACAACAAGCCAUAGAAGCUCCUUGAUUGACCGAAUCAGCGACCUCACGUCCCAGCUGCAGCUGCUUCGUGCGUCCAGUGAAGUCUCCACGCGUCCAGGUCAACUGAAGCCGCUCCUUGCCGUUUGUUGACCCUGUCGGCCACUCACUCAUUUCCAGCACUGAACGAAGACUCCACCGGUUCUGCCGCUCCAGCCCGUUGAAGCUCCACCAACCGCAGCUCACGUGUCCGUUUAGCCGCAGUGGAUUCCAGCGCCCCUCGCCACUUCUUUCGUUUAGUCAGCGUGAAGACCGAAUCCACGGAUCCAGCGGCCUCGAUUUUCUUUUGCUCGUGGACAGACCUCAGCGAGCCCAUUCCGCUUCUCUUGCCGGCCCAGCUCGCUCAAACUCAAUUGAAGCCCAUCGAAUUGGACUUAUUUCAGCCCAAAGAGAGCAGACCAUUUUCAGCUUAAUUUCAAGUCCAGCAAGUUGCAAGCCCAAUUUCCAGCAAAGAAAUUUGAAGCCCAAGUGAAGUCAGUCCAGAAAUUUCAGCAGGCCCAAUUCAACUUGGGUCUGGCCCAAAAGCAAGAACAAAUCUCAGUUGGGCUGAGGUUUGUUGGGCCAAGGUCAAGGCCCGGUCCAAGCCCGCCGGUGUUGUCGGAAGUCCGAUUUCGGCCGCCGUCG
Molecule: long non-coding RNA, 1187 nt
Filed under: Eucalyptus grandis
Lineage: Eukaryota; Viridiplantae; Streptophyta; Magnoliopsida; Myrtales; Myrtaceae
Description: long non-coding RNA (EGRA_LNC000829)
Source: RNAcentral